UCCACAUUCAGAUCCAUCUCUGUGUGAAGC
RNAcentral lists this non-coding RNA (30 nucleotides) under Mus musculus (house mouse). The record is from RNAcentral. Lineage: Eukaryota; Metazoa; Chordata; Mammalia; Rodentia; Muridae.